GUCAAAAUACAUAAGCGCUCCCAUAUAAUCCUGGUAAUAUGGUCCAGGAGUCUCUACCGGAUAACCGUAAAGUUGGGGUAUAUAGAUAUUUUGGCCUAAGU
RNAcentral lists this non-coding RNA (101 nucleotides) under Caldanaerobius fijiensis. RNAcentral's name for it is "Guanine sequence". It matches the Rfam family "Purine riboswitch aptamer". Rfam says of the family: Riboswitches are metabolite binding domains within certain messenger RNAs that serve as precision sensors for their corresponding targets. Allosteric rearrangement of mRNA structure is mediated by ligand binding, and this results in modulation of gene expression. A class of riboswitches that selectively recognises guanine and becomes saturated at concentrations as low as 5 nM. RNAcentral also lists the same sequence under 1 other name. The record is from RNAcentral. Lineage: Bacteria; Bacillati; Bacillota; Clostridia; Thermoanaerobacterales; Thermoanaerobacteraceae.